Molecule: ribosomal RNA, 427 nt
Filed under: uncultured bacterium
Lineage: Bacteria
Description: partial 16S ribosomal RNA
Rfam family: Bacterial small subunit ribosomal RNA
Source: RNAcentral
GUGGGGAAUAUUGGGCAAUGGGCGAAAGCCUGACCCAGCAACGCCGCGUGAGGGAAGAAGGCCUUAGGGUCGUAAACCUCUGUUGUGUGGGAAGAAGAGCGUGACGGUACCACACGAGGAAGUCCCGGCUAACUACGUGCCAGCAGCCGCGGUAAUACGUAGGGGACGAGCGUUGUCCGGAUUUACUGGGCGUAAAGGGCGCGUAGGCGGUCAUUUAAGUCAGCUGUGAAAUGGUUUGGCUUAACCGGAUCAUGCGGUUGAAACUGGAUGACUGGAGUGCUGGAGAGGCAAGUGGAAUUCCCAGUGUAGCGGUGAAAUGCGUAGAUAUUGGGAAGAACACCGGUGGCGAAGGCGACUUGCUGGCCAGCAACUGACGCUGAGGCGCGAAAGCCAGGGGAGCAAACGGGAUUAGAAACCCCAGUAAUCC